Molecule: non-coding RNA, 250 nt
Organism: Arachis ipaensis
Lineage: Eukaryota; Viridiplantae; Streptophyta; Magnoliopsida; Fabales; Fabaceae
Source: RefSeq, a predicted model, not a curated record
AAAAGAAGAUUCAGGAGGAUUCUGAUUCAGAAUCUGAAUCAAAUAAUGAGUAAUGUUCUGAAAUUAUUACUGCUUUUCUUUGGGUUUAUUAUCAAGAUUUCAUGUAUUAACAGAGCGUCUCUUAUUAACUUUUAGAAGCGAAGAAUCAUCACCAGUAGAGAAGCAAAAAACAAAGAAAAAGACUCAGAGAACACCACAAAAGACACAAUCCAAAAAGAAAAAGAUCUGAAAUUGGAACUGAAGAAUUAGA